GGUAGCGUGGCUGAGUGGUCUAAGGUGCUGGAUUAAGGCUCUAGUCUCUUCGGGGGGCGUGGGUUUGAGUCCCACCGCUGCCA
Molecule: non-coding RNA, 83 nt
Organism: Sander lucioperca (pikeperch)
Lineage: Eukaryota; Metazoa; Chordata; Actinopteri; Perciformes; Percidae
Source: the annotation of a RefSeq genome assembly